CAGGGCCAGGGCCGGCUCCAUUGAUUCACUUACUCUUUAUUUUUCUUCAAUGAACAGAGUUUGCUUAUAUGAGGAAAGUGACGACGAAAGCGGACGUGUUCAGCUUCGGGAUUGUGAUGAUGGAGCUGAUGACGAAACGGAGACCGACUUCGGUGAUCGAUGAAGAAUCACAAGGGGUGAGUCUGCGUCAAUUGGUGGAGGAAGCGGUUGGAGAUGGAGUGGAAGGGAUGAUCAGGGUUCUUGAUUCGGAGAUUGGGUUAUCUAUUGUUACUAGGAAGCAGGAAGAGGCUGUUGAAGAUUUGUUGAAGCUUUGUUUGUACUGUACAAGCUCUAGACCUGAGGAUAGGCCUGAUAUGAAUGAGGUUCUUACGCAUUUGAUGAAACUAAGAGGGAAGACGAUCUCAGUUCCAGAUUGUAAUGGUGAUUUAGAAGUGUAACACAGUAAUGGUUUAAUCAAAGUCGAAGACCAGCUUUGUUGUGCGAGUGUCGUACUAUGUUUAUGUUUUCUUUUUAUUUUCUCUUAAGAUAUUGGGCUUGAAUAAAGGGCCCAACAACUACUGUAUGACAUUGUAAAAGUCUCUGAUGAGUUGAUUGCAUAUUUGCAUUUGCGCAAGUGUUAAAGACGCUUGAUUUAGGGGAUGACUCGUUCCGCGGUUACGGUUGCAGAUGCGGAUUGUUGCGGUUUCUAACAGUUUUAAGAGAAUUACAUUUUAUAUAAUUACAAAAUAUCAAAAAUUAUAAUAUUAUAAUAAAUAUAAAAAUUAUAUUUAGAAAGUUAUAGUUUUAAAUUUUUUAAAAUUAUAUAAAAUAUUUUUGUUUAAAAUUUUUAUAAUAUUAAUUAAAAUAUAAUAGAUAUAUUUUAGUAUUUUUAUAAUUUUAAUUUUAAAUUUUUAUUGAAUAUUUUUAUUUUUGUAUUUAUAUUGUUUUUUUAAAGUAUCCUCCUACAACCGUAAACGCUAACUGGAAUCAACUUUUGUAUUUAUAAAGUUUAGAAUAGUUUAAAGCGGUUUGGAGCAGUUUGAGCAAUUGUUGCAAAAUGUCAACCACUACCAACCGAAAAAGUUGUGUUUGCGGAUAGUAACGGGAAAAUCAGUCAUACCCUUAAUUGGAAUACCCUUAACCGGAAGGAAGCCACUUCAUAGUUUAUUCAAAUUUUGCCAAAGUAGAGAAGUUGAUCAGCCGUAUCACACAUCUGUUUGGAUUACUAUUUUCUCUUCCACAAGAUUGAUAUCUUACUUUUCACAUUUUUCAACAGAUUAAUAAAACACUAAACAUGCUUUUUAUCUUUAAUUAAUACAUUUAAAAUACAUUAACAAAACUUAUCUCUCCAAUCUUUAUAAUAUUACUAGGGGUAUUACCACUGUGCAAGCGCGGAGUUCUAAACAGAGUUCUUGUUUCAUCUCAAUAUUUGCUAGAGUUAUUGUAGUUGUGAAUUUUGUGUUUUGUGUUGAUCAUUGUUUUUCAAGUUUUUUUAUUGUUAUAGAGUUAGAGUUGUGAUGAUAAACUAUGUAGGCAAAUGUUCAAGUGCCCUCCCGCAAGCGUGGAGUUUUAGACAGACUUCUUGUUUUAUCUCAAUAUUUGCUAGAGUUAUUCUAGUUGCGAAUUUUGUGUUUUGUGUUGAUUAUUGUUUUUCAAGUUUUUUAUUGUUAUAAGGUUAUAGUUGUGAUGAUGAACUAUGUAGGCAAUGUUCUCCACAUAUGAAUGACUAAACUGUGUUAGUAAUGUGAUUGAUAUAGUUUGUGGUGUUGCUUGAUCUGUCACUGAGAUUUAUUGUUUGUUUAUCUUUUUAAUUUGUUUCUUGUACUGUUGAUAGUACAUAAAUUAUAUCGCUAGCGGAAUCGACUAUCUUCACUCUGGAUUUGGAUUCCCGAUCGUGCAUUGCGAUCUGAAGCCGGCGAAUAUACUCCUCGACGGAGAUGGAGUAGCUCACGUCAGCGAUUUUGGGACUGCGAGGAUUCUAGGGUUACGUGAAGAUGGAAGCGUUACUGCUUCUACAUUAGCCUUCGAGGGGACGAUUGGGUACUUAGCUCCAGGUAAAAUUCGAAAUCCAAACAAUAUUUUAAAAGUCAAAAAUACGUGGCUUAACAAGCUUCGAACCUAGCUCCUCUUGAACAAUAUAGAGAACAGUAAACCACUAGACUAGAGAAAUUUCAAAACGACCGGUAAAAUGAAGGAUGGGCUUUAUUGGGCCAGGGCCAGGGCCAGGGCCGGCUCCAUUGAUUCACUUACUUUUUUUUUCUUCAAUGAACAGAGUUUGCUUAUAUGAGGAAAGUGACGACGAAAGCGGACGUGUUCAGCUUCGGGAUUGUGAUGAUGGAGCUGAUGACGAAACGGAGACCGACUUCGGUGAUCGAUGAAGAAUCACAAGGGGUGAGUCUGCGUCAAUUGGUGGAGGAAGCAGUUGGAGAUGGAGUGGAAGGGAUGAUCAGGGUUCUUGAUUCGGAGAUUGGGUUAUCUAUUGUUACUAGGAAGCAGGAAGAGGCUGUUGAAGAUUUGUUGAAGCUUUGUUUGUACUGUACAAGCUCUAGACCUGAGGAUAGGCCUGAUAUGAAUGAGGUUCUUACGCAUUUGAUGAAACUCAGAGGGAAGACGAUCUCAGUUCCUGAUCGUAUUGGUGAUUUAGAAGUGUAACAGUAAUGGUCCGUUUAAUCAAAGUCGAAGACGAGCUUUGUUGUGUGAGUGUCGUACUAUGUUUAUGUUUUCUUUUUUUUUUCUCUUAAGAUAUUGGGCUUGAAUAAAGGGCCCAACAACUACUGUAUGAAAUUGUAAAAGUCUCUGAUGAGUUGAUUGCAUUUGCGUAAGUGUUAAGACGCUUGAUUUAGGGGAUGACUCGUUUCGCGGUUGCGGAUACGGGUUAUCGCGGUCUCUAACGGUUUUAAGAGAUUUACAUUUUAUAUAAUUAUAAAAAUAUCAAAAAUUAUAAUAUUAUAAUAAAUAUAAAAAUUAUAUUUAGAAAGUUAUAGUUUUAAAUUUUUUAAAAUUAUACAAAAUAUUUUUAUUUUAAAAUUUUAUAAUAUUAAUUAAAAUAUAAUAGAUAUAUUUUAGUAUUUUUAUAAUUUAAAUUUAAAUUUUUUUGUUGAAUAUUUUUAUUUUUGUAUUUAUAUUGUUGUUUUUUUUAAAAAAAUUAUCCUCCUGCAACCGCAAACUCUAGCUGAAAUCAAC
This 3162-nucleotide long non-coding RNA is filed under the name Brassica rapa (field mustard). Its description in RNAcentral is "long non-coding RNA (BRAP_LNC006627)". The record is from RNAcentral. Lineage: Eukaryota; Viridiplantae; Streptophyta; Magnoliopsida; Brassicales; Brassicaceae.